UUUUACAAAAUGUCUGAGACAAACCACAAAGGAAAAUAAUUUCCCACCCACGCUACCAUCACUCCAGAAGACAAAAAAGCUUCCCUACACCAAAGGAGAGCAGAGCCUGGGGACAAGAAUGUCAUAAGAAAAGGACCCCCCAGAAAGACAGUGGCUACAGCCAGCCUCUGUGCAAGGA
Molecule: non-coding RNA, 178 nt
Organism: Ailuropoda melanoleuca (giant panda)
Lineage: Eukaryota; Metazoa; Chordata; Mammalia; Carnivora; Ursidae
Source: Rfam